Molecule: ribosomal RNA, 433 nt
Filed under: uncultured bacterium
Lineage: Bacteria
Description: partial 16S ribosomal RNA
Rfam family: Bacterial small subunit ribosomal RNA
Source: RNAcentral
AACGAACGCUGGCGGCAUGCCUAACACAUGCAAGUCGAACGAGACCUUCGGGUCUAGUGGCGCACGGGUGCGUAACGCGUGGGAACCUGCCCUUAGGUUCGGAAUAACUCCCCGAAAGGGGUGCUAAUACCGGAUAAUGUCUUCGGACCAAAGAUUUAUCGCCAUUGGAUGGGCCCGCGUUGGAUUAGCUAGUUGGUAGGGUAAAAGCCUACCAAGGCGACGAUCCAUAGCUGGUCUGAGAGGAUGAUCAGCCACACUGGGACUGAGACACGGCCCAGACUCCUACGGGAGGCAGCAGUGGGGAAUAUUGGACGAGGGGCGAAAGCCUGAUCCAGCAAUGCCGCGUGAGUGAGGAAGGCCUUAGGGUUGUAAAGCUCUUUUACCCGGGAUGAUAAUGACAGUACCGGGAGAAUAAGCUCCGGCUAACUCCGUG